AUUGAACGCUGGCGGCAUGCCUUACACAUGCAAGUCGAACGGUAACAGGCCGCAAGGUGCUGACGAGUGGCGAACGGGUGAGUAAUGUAUCGGAACGUGCCCAGUCGUGGGGGAUAACUGCUCGAAAGAGCAGCUAAUACCGCAUACGACCUGAGGGUGAAAGCGGGGGAUCGCAAGACCUCGCGCGAUUGGAGCGGCCGAUAUCAGAUUAGGUAGUUGGUGGGGUAACGGCCCACCAAGGCGACGAUCCGUAGCUGGUCUGAGAGGAUGAUCAGCCACACUGGAACUGAGACACGGUCCAGACUCCUACGGGAGGCAGCAGUAGGGAAUAUUGGACAAUGGGCGCAAGCCUGAUCCAGCCAUGCCGCGUGAGUGAAGAAGGCCCUCGGGUUGUAAAGCUCUUUUGUCCGGAAAGAAAAGCACUGGGUUAAUACCCCGGUGUCCUGACGGUACCGGAAGAAUAAGCACCGGCUAACUUCGUGCCAGCAGCCGAC
This 494-nucleotide ribosomal RNA is filed under the name uncultured bacterium. RNAcentral's name for it is "bacterial SSU rRNA". It matches the Rfam family "Bacterial small subunit ribosomal RNA", at positions 30 to 518 of the family's 1533-position model. The record is from RNAcentral.